This 253-nucleotide ribosomal RNA is filed under the name uncultured bacterium. RNAcentral describes it as "partial 16S ribosomal RNA". It matches the Rfam family "Bacterial small subunit ribosomal RNA", at positions 524 to 776 of the family's 1533-position model. The record is from RNAcentral.
UACAGAGGUGGCAAGCGUUGUUCGGAAUUACUGGGCGUAAAGCGCGUGUAGGCGGUUGCCCAAGUCGGGUGUGAAAGCCUUGAGCUCAACUCAAGAAAUGCACUCGGUACUGGGUGACUAGAGGACCGGAGAGGAUAGUGGAAUUCCCAGUGUAGUGGUGAAAUACGUAGAGAUUGGGAAGAACACCAGUGGCGAAGGCGGCUAUCUGGACGGUUUCUGACGCUAAGACGCGAAAGCGUGGGGAGCAAACAGG